CUUCCCUACGGGAGGCAGCAGUGGGGAAUAUUGCACAAUGGGGGGAACCCUGAUGCAGCGACGCCGCGUGAGCGAAGAAGUAUUUCGGUAUGUAAAGCUCUUUCAGCAGGGAAGAAAAUGACGGUACCUGACUAAGAAGCCCCGGCUAACUACGUGCCAGCAGCCGCGGUAAUACGUAGGCGGCAAGCGUUAUCCGGAUUUACUGGGUGUAAAGGGAGCGCAGUCGGCGCG
Molecule: ribosomal RNA, 231 nt
Filed under: uncultured bacterium
Lineage: Bacteria
Description: partial 16S ribosomal RNA
Rfam family: Bacterial small subunit ribosomal RNA
Source: RNAcentral